CGAAGGGUGCAAGCGUUACUCGGAAUUACUGGGCGUAAAGCGUGCGUAGGUGGUUCGUUAAGUCAGAUGUGAAAGCCCCGGGCUCAACCUGGGAGUUGCAUUUGAUACUGGCGGGCUAGAGUGCGGUAGAGGAGAGUGGAAUUCCCGGUGUAGCAGUGAAAUGCGUAGAGAUCGGGAGGAACAUCAGUUGCGAAGGCGGCUCUCUGGACCAGCACUGACACUGAGGCACGAAAGCGUGGGGAGCAAACAGGAUUAGAUACCCUGGUAGUCCACGCCCUAAACGAUGCGAACUGGACGUUGGGAGCAAUCAGGCUCUCAGUGUCGAAGCUAACGCGUUAAGUUCGCCGCCUGGGGAGUACGGUCGCAAGACUG
This 372-nucleotide ribosomal RNA is filed under the name uncultured organism. Its description in RNAcentral is "bacterial SSU rRNA". It matches the Rfam family "Bacterial small subunit ribosomal RNA", at positions 526 to 896 of the family's 1533-position model. The record is from RNAcentral.